UUUGUCAGAUUGGCAAAAUAUAAUAUUAUUUGGCAUACUGAAGAAGUUUAGUAAUUAGUUUUUGUGUGCCAUGAGAUGAAAAAGAUUGAAAAUCGCUAAUCUAGGAGGCAGAAAACUUUCUAGCCACUUCUUGGUGCACUGCUUGUGGCUGUUUUAAGCAUUGUCUGGAAAUUAUUUGUAGAGCUUGAUUUUACACAUACUUUUUAGCCUGGCCUACUCACUUAUCACAUAUGUGCCUAGUCCAGUACCAAUAGACAAUAACUUUUUUCCCCUCAGAAACAGGAGACUGUUGUUUAAAAGGGCACUUCCCUUUACUUAGGUGAACAAUACAAUUUCAUGGAAGUUGGUGCACAUGUUUUCCCUUGAAUGGCUAAAUUUCAAAAGGACAUCCUGAAUUCCCCCUCCACUCUGACACUAUUAAAGCAAAAGAAAGUAUUUAUGUAAUACCCAUGUAACUGACCGGAUCCCUACAGGCAGCUUGAGAGAUAUAAAGGCAAAUACUCCUUAUAGACCAUGGUCUAAAGGAGAAGGUUCCAAAAUCCCCACAAUUAAGUUAUAUUAAUAAAUUUAAUGGAAAAUAAGAUCUUAGAAAGUGACUAAAAUGUAUUCAAGGUGAUGAGAAGGUAAGAAAGAGAGAGAUAGUAAAGUCUUUGUAAGCAUGUUUUCAAAGGAACGCUGUCACAUAUUAAGUAUACAGACUGAACUCUUCCUUGUUCUGGUGACAAUCACAUGCCUAAGCCAAAAUUACUGUUUUGUUUCAUUUUAUCCCUCCCCUUUCACAGUAAUAUCCAUAGUGAUGAGGAGUCCUAGAGAGUGUCAUUCCAUUAUGUUACGAAAUUGUUGCCUAUUAGGUAACCAAAAUGUAAGAGAAUUACAUCACACUAUAUAUUGUCCAAACACAGAACAGCAACAAAGACAACCAAAUGAAAGAAACUCUGGUCUUUUCAAAACCAAAGAAGUACAAGAAAACCAUAGAAUUUAAGGGGCAGAAACUAUCCCAGAAGGUUAUUCCCAGAAUUCAGAUGCUCAAGAUAGUAAUAGAAUUACACCUUUACAAAGAAUAAGAGUAACAACUUAGAUCUGAAUUACUACCAUUUCAGGUCCUAAAUUCAUUCAAUUGUUAAACAUAAAAGAAAGCAUAAUCAUGCUUUAGUUUGCAACUUUCACAGGUGCUAAGACAAUGAAUGAAAAUAGCUCUCUCUAAAACCCUCCUACAAAUUGGCACAUUCCAUGAAUAAGUAGUUCCUUGUGACCCUGAAUUAGAAGCUUUCAAUUGAUAGUUUUCUCUAUAAAGGGAGAAAAGAAUUCUCAUAAUUCAUAUUCCAUAAAUGAAGGUUUAAAACUGACACUUUUUCAUUUUUAAAAACUUCAAAAUAGAGAUGAAAAUACCACGUUGGACUGUAAUUUUUUUCAGUCCUCAAUCUGAAGAGCUUGGACCCAUUUAAGGUAUGUUGCACAGGAAGACAGUACCCUAAUAAAUGUUGGCUCAACCCGAUUCAUUCAGAUAAUCAUCAUAAUAUUGUUAGAUCUGUUGGCUGGAAAUUAGGACAAAUUUGAUUAAUCCAAGGUAAUUUGAGGAAGGGAGGAAAGCUGGUCAUGCUCUGCCCUGAGCAUUAUUGCCGAGGAGGAGAAUGAGAGUCACAUUUGAGGAUUUGUCCAGGGCCCAGUCAGAUACUAUUACUGAAAAGAAACUGUGUUUAUGAUAACCCUCCUUAAGAGAAUAAAAGGAAGAGGUAGAAUGGAGUUGACACUCCACCUCCGGCCUCUUCCACCCCUCAGUUUUUGAGCUCAUGCAACCUAACCCUCUCCUUUCUCUGGCUCGACCACUUUGUAACUCUUACCACAUUCCUUCUCACAUUCUCUUUAUACUUUAUCUUUUGCUUUCUUGUAGUUGUUUAAUAUUGUAUAAAGAGCUUUUUCUCUUGAGAGAAACAGAGGUGUGCCAAAGUCUUGAUAGAUAAUAUAGUGUUAAGGAAACAUAGGGGAAACUAACAAUGUGGUUGCCCAGCCGUGCUUCAUCAAAACUAGAAUGUCCCUAUUACAGCAGUGGCCCUGGCAGUCUGACAUCAGCUCUGGUGUCACAACGACCACUCUGCCAGUAGUCUUUCUUUUGGAGCAGGUGUCUGUUGCACUGAACUCCACUUUUGCUUCACUAUGCCACCUACUUUCAUGCUUUUCCAUUAGGGUGACUCAGCUAAUCCAUGUUUGUUUUUCUGUCUAAUUCUUCUCUGUGCUCCUUGACACUGAAUGCACUCUCUCUUCUCCUUUCUACAUGAAGGUGUGUGCUUAUUCAUGGCUUCUACUGCCAUGCCACUUUUGCUUAACAUCCUCUCUCUCUGAGCUUCCACUGCUGCCUACCACUUCUAUUCCUUUCUGUAUAUGUCUCAUUAAAUGUCCACAAGAAGGAUUUGGUUGAUUUGGUUCAGAACAGAGGGUUCUUGCUAGGAAGAGCUCUCCUGGUAGUCUAUAGAUACUUUUCUUCAGCACUUACCCAUUAUGUAACUUACUGUGAUUGGGAUCCUGUGAUACCAAGCAUUGUGGUCUACAUGUAAGGUACCUCUUUAGGAGCCUCUAAGUUGUAUUUAAAGAAGACAGUGUACCCUACAGACAUCAUGCACAGAAUAUGCUAUAUUGAGGCAUCCUAUCAAGGGACUUGAAGUACUAGAUUUUUCGUUCUUAUACCAUAUAUCACUGACUUUAAGAUGAUAUCAAUUGUAAGGUAUACUUUGGUUUAUGUAAAGAAAGAAGGAAAUACUGCCAAUUAAAUGAUAGAACACUAUAGUUAGAGGCAUCCCGGUCUCAGGUCUGAUAUGUGAAAAAGUGUGCUUUUUACAAAAGGUGAAACAUGGUGCUUGCCAUGUAUCUGAGAUCAUCAGGGAGUGAGAGUGGGUUAAGUGAGCCUCCAGAGUAGGUCCCUGAGGAUUGACCCAUAGAGUGGGGUAAAUGCUAAAAACUAGGAAUCAGGUCCUAAAUCUGGGAGGCCAGUAGGUAAUGUCUAGAGAAGAGACAGCCAGAUAUCUGUCUACAAAAGAGGAGGCGGCCAGUCUCUGCUCCCAAGUGUUUUUUGGGUCAAGAAUGUGACAAAUAUCAGAAGGUAGAUCCAAAGGGAGAAAGAAGUAUGUUCCCCUAAUGGUUAAAUGACAUGGAUAGAUCAGGAAGGUCUGUUUCUGUUAAAUCCCCACUUAUACUCAGGCAUCAAUUCACCUGUCUCUUUUGUCUUCUAAAAUUUUCUUUGUUUAUUACUCGAAUAUUAACUAGCUCUUUGGAAAUAAGGUAAUUUAGUAAAACAAACACUGUAUUUGUCUUUGAGGCACCUAAAAUAGCAUAACCACUGAGAGUUAAACACAUAGUUGUAAUACAUUAACGAAUAAUGCCUAGUUGUUGACUCCCUUUUUUGUUACUGGGAGAGUAAUAUAGCUGGAUCAAAAUUAUGAAUUAGCAGGACUGUCUUUUAGUCUCCUCUAUGUUACUAGAGCAAAUCUCUUAUUAAUGUGAUUAGCAUGGAAGAAAGUCCUUAUCAAAUUCCCGCUUCAUUACUGGUGACUGGCCAGGGGUAGCUUGAGUGGUUGGUUAUCUAAGGAGAAUAUUCCCAGGAGAUCUUUGCAGCAUUCAGGGAUGGUUUACUCUGGCUCUGUAGAUAUGGCAAGUGACACAUCAGUUUGUUAGGACCACAUUUCCCACUGUUUCCACUGAAUGUUUUUUUAUUGUUUAUUGCCCCAUAUCUUGUAUAAAAAGGAUUAGAUAAAAAUUCUGGAUGAAAUAAACUUGGUUAAAUUAUGAGUGGAAAAUUAUCUGCUGGUGAAUCUCAGGGGACCACUCAUGAGUUACACAGCUGUUCUAGAACAACAAUCAGUGUGAUCUUCAGGUUGGUCUCUUGGGUCCUGUUCACCUUCUGAGACCCCAGUGCCUAAGAUGAACUCAUCGUUUCCUAUAUGCUUCAAAAUUAUAGUGGUCCCACCUCACCGCCCCCCGCCCCCCGCCAGGGGACUCCUUUGAAACUAUGAACAAGAGCAAGCCUGGCUCAAAAGGAUAGCAAAGUGCCUAGUUUUGUGUGUCACUUCAUAAGGAAAAAUUCAAAGGGGGCCAGUUUGGUUUCUUAGUUAUGUUCUGGGGGGGGGAACACAAGUCUCCAAUAUUGUCCUUACAGCACACUGGAGCAGCCAGACUGAUUAUCCGGGACUUUACAUAUCUGAAGAAUGAGCUUAGCUUAAUAAUGAAAAACAAGUUCUUUCCUCUUUCACACAAUACCUUUCUACCCAUUAUUUCAAUAACACUUGUUAUAUGUAUUCUAGAUUAGAGUAGCAGUAUCUAUAAGUACACUUGGAUUCCACUGUGACCACUCAAUGAAAUUUUUUGGCAGAAUAGGAUUUUUUUUGGCAGAAGUACUAUUCAACAGUUUGCAAGUGACUGAAAUGGCCUCCGAUGGUCCUUUGUUGAUAUCUGCAAGUCUUGGCCCUUGCAGGUGCCUUCUAGGGAUCCUGAAACAUGUCUUCUUAAAGGCCCCCCUUCCACUCCUGCACAUAUGCCAGGUCUUCUUGAACCCACUCUUCCAUUCCUUUCUUUCCCAUGUUUUUUACUCCAAACUUCUGUUUUCAACCUCCAUAAAGAAAAUGGCUAAGGUGCAAGAAAUGCUCCAGGCUGCUAUUGUAGGAAACUAAUUUAAUGGACACUCUCCAAAUCCAGCAUCAGAAAUAAAGGUCUCAUGGGUCCUUUUGGCAGCAUUUAAAUGACUGCUCCCCUAUGGCUUUGUGUCUGUUAAUGGGUGUUCUCCUUCUUUAGAGCAAGGCACAUUGAUAGGCCACUGUACAAAGAUAAAUACUAUUCUUUGGGUUUGUGGAUUUUCUAAAUAAACUGAGAACAGUGGCUAAAUAUCAUAUGACCUGGAAGCCUAAAAGGAAGAGGCAUAGAGUGACUUCAUUCAGCCUCUUUUCAAAAGCACUCUGUAUUUGUCAAGCGUCAGAGUUUGUAGAGACAUUUAGCAGACAGUGGUUGCAAGAAAAAGAAUUUUGCUGAGAUGUAUAAACUGUAUGACUUGUGUUAAGUCAUGCCUAAGACAUUAGACAACAUAUAUUGAUCUUGUUUUU
This is a long non-coding RNA of Phyllostomus discolor (pale spear-nosed bat), 5084 nucleotides long. RefSeq lists it as uncharacterized. NCBI's taxonomy places the organism in Eukaryota, Metazoa, Chordata, Mammalia, Chiroptera, Phyllostomidae. The record is from RefSeq and is a predicted model, not a curated record. The transcript has 2 exons.